CCAUUUUUAGGAGAAUAAUAUACACAAAGAGGAUUGUCGGGAAAGAGAUGGUUCUUUGGGGACGCAUACCUUUUAUUAACAACGUUUAUUGAUAGAGAUGGAGG
Molecule: long non-coding RNA, 104 nt
Organism: Syngnathus acus (greater pipefish)
Lineage: Eukaryota; Metazoa; Chordata; Actinopteri; Syngnathiformes; Syngnathidae
Exons: 3
Source: RefSeq, a predicted model, not a curated record